UUUGAAUUAUCCAAUAAUGUUUAUACUCUGUCAUAAUCAACAGAAAUGAAAUUCAACACAUCAUAUAAGCCACAAUUAUCAACUGAAAUAUAUAUAUUAAAGCAAAAUGCCAUCAUUCCCUGCAAAUUUAAUGAGAAGGGAAAGGUAUCAAACCUAAAUAAAAAAAGCUAAAAUACAAUAUAAAUUGCAGAAUCUUUCUAGUCUAUCAUUUUAGUCAAGCGGUGAAUGGUACUCC
RNAcentral lists this unclassified non-coding RNA (235 nucleotides) under Hevea brasiliensis (rubber tree). Lineage: Eukaryota; Viridiplantae; Streptophyta; Magnoliopsida; Malpighiales; Euphorbiaceae. The record is from RNAcentral.